GGCAAUCCACAAAGGUUUAGAGGAGGAAUUAAAUCCAUUUUUCAGCAGAAAUAACUAUUUUUGUGAUUAUCAUAUAGAUUCCAUGAGCUACACUUUGGUCCUAUCAAGACAGGCAGGCAGCUGCAUGAGAGGUGGAAAGAGAGAAAAUGAUUGAGAUGAAAUCACCACCAACAGCUACUGCAGGCAGGAAGGCAGCAUUGGAUCCCAGCCACAAUACUUCUGCAACCUGGUUUCAAUGGGCCUGAUGGGAUACCAUAAUGUAACCUACACUGAACAAGGACCUUUUGUGAGAAGCAUAGCAAGGAACUUCAGUCUGGCUUUCAAAAGUGCUGAACACCCAAAACUCCUAUUGAGGUCUCCGGGAGUUACAGGUACUCAAUACCACUGCAAAUUAAAGCUGAAUGAACUGUUUCAUGUUUGCUGUGAGUUUGCUUUCUGUACAGUGCCAUCACAUCUGCAAAAUGACCCUGAGUUAACCUCCUAAGCCUUCUGAGGCAGAAACUUCCUAUGCAUAGGUACAACAUCUCACACAAUGCAGUACAGAGCUUAGCAAAGGCCUCCAGGCACUAAUACAAUAAAAUUAAUUAGUAAAAACAACAGUAAAUUAUAAAUUCACAGUAUCUGUAUUUGCAGGGCAAUGGGGAAUACAUAUUUGGGCUAGUUAUGUGUAGAUGGGCCUGCUUUUGCUAUCCAGUUUCCAUCUGACUAUCUGUGGUCUGAUUUGUUGGACAAAUUAUGUCCAAUGUGUUCAUAGUUUUUGUGAACUUAAAAAUUUGUCUUUUGAUGACUCUGUAAAAGCCACAUUGAGAAAUAGUAAAAAAUAAAUAAAUGAUUCUUAUUAUUGCCUUCA
Harpia harpyja (harpy eagle) is the source of this 850-nucleotide long non-coding RNA. RefSeq lists it as uncharacterized. NCBI's taxonomy places the organism in Eukaryota, Metazoa, Chordata, Aves, Accipitriformes, Accipitridae. The transcript is spliced from 2 exons. The record is from RefSeq and is a predicted model, not a curated record.